This 64-nucleotide transfer RNA is filed under the name Ceratobaeus sp. MM-2013. Its description in RNAcentral is "tRNA-Ile". Lineage: Eukaryota; Metazoa; Arthropoda; Insecta; Hymenoptera; Scelionidae. The record is from RNAcentral.
AUGAAAUGCCUGAAAAAAGGAUUAUUUUGAUAGAGUAAAUUAUAUAAUUAAAUUAUUUUCAUUA